CCCCUAGAUGUUCUGGGCCGCACGCGCGCUACACUGAACAGUUCAACAAGUCUUAACCUUGGCCGAUAGGUCUGGGUAAUCUUUGAACGCUGUUCGUGAUUGGGAUAGACCUUUGCAAUUAUGGGUCUUCAACGAGGAAUUCCUAGUAGACGCAAGUCAUCAGCUUGCAUUGAUUACGUCCCUGCCCUUUGUACACACCGCCCGUCGCACCUACCGAUUGAAUGGUCCGGUGAAAUCUCGGGACGGCGGCUUGGUCGCUUGCGUCCGACUGCUGAAACUUGAUUAAACCAUAUCAUUUAGAGGAAGGUGAANUCGUANCA
RNAcentral lists this ribosomal RNA (320 nucleotides) under uncultured eukaryote. RNAcentral describes it as "partial 18S ribosomal RNA". It matches the Rfam family "Eukaryotic small subunit ribosomal RNA", at positions 1470 to 1796 of the family's 1831-position model. The record is from RNAcentral.